RNAcentral lists this transfer RNA (72 nucleotides) under Bos taurus (domestic cattle). It matches the Rfam family "tRNA". Rfam says of the family: Transfer RNA (tRNA) molecules are approximately 80 nucleotides in length. Their secondary structure includes four short double-helical elements and three loops (D, anti-codon, and T loops). Further hydrogen bonds mediate the characteristic L-shaped molecular structure. tRNAs have two regions of fundamental functional importance: the anti-codon, which is responsible for specific mRNA codon recognition, and the 3' end, to which the tRNAs corresponding amino acid is attached (by aminoacyl-tRNA synthetases). tRNAs cope with the degeneracy of the genetic code in two manners: having more than one tRNA (with a specific anti-codon) for a particular amino acid; and 'wobble' base-pairing, i.e. permitting non-standard base-pairing at the 3rd anti-codon position. The record is from Rfam by way of RNAcentral. RNAcentral also lists the same sequence under 4 other names. Lineage: Eukaryota; Metazoa; Chordata; Mammalia; Artiodactyla; Bovidae.
UCCCUGGUGGCUCAGUUGGUAGAGAACCCGCCUGCAAUGUGGGAGACCUGGGUUUGAUCCCUGGAUUGGGAU